RNAcentral lists this transfer RNA (76 nucleotides) under Bacteroides sp. CAG:1060. Its description in RNAcentral is "transfer RNA-Met(CAT)". It matches the Rfam family "tRNA". Rfam says of the family: Transfer RNA (tRNA) molecules are approximately 80 nucleotides in length. The record is from RNAcentral. Lineage: Bacteria; Pseudomonadati; Bacteroidota; Bacteroidia; Bacteroidales; Bacteroidaceae.
CGCGGGGUAGAGCAGUUGGUAGCUCGUCGGGCUCAUAACCCGGAGGUCGUUGGUUCGAGUCCAGCCCCCGCUACUA